RNAcentral lists this non-coding RNA (269 nucleotides) under Pseudomonas citronellolis. RNAcentral's name for it is "rne-II RNA". It matches the Rfam family "rne-II RNA". The record is from RNAcentral. Lineage: Bacteria; Pseudomonadati; Pseudomonadota; Gammaproteobacteria; Pseudomonadales; Pseudomonadaceae.
AACGUGCAGGGUGGAGAUGCACAACUGUCGGACCGCGUAGCUGGCAUAGCCUUGUUUCAGACGCACUCUUUCGUCCGCCUCCGACAGCUGAUUCCUCCUCCUGUUGAUUGCUUGUUCGCAGGACAAGCAGGAGACGUAGUCGCGACCCGGCCCGUUGCUGGCCGGACGUCGCUGGACACGGGAAUGGUCCGCCGUUCCUGAGUACGCGCCUGAGCACCGACCGUGAGAGUCGUGGGUGCCGAUUGCCGUUUCCGGUGGCCCCGGAAACC